RNAcentral lists this ribosomal RNA (338 nucleotides) under Candidatus Mycoplasma haematominutum. RNAcentral's name for it is "bacterial SSU rRNA". It matches the Rfam family "Bacterial small subunit ribosomal RNA", at positions 128 to 460 of the family's 1533-position model. The record is from RNAcentral. Lineage: Bacteria; Bacillati; Mycoplasmatota; Mollicutes; Mycoplasmatales; Mycoplasmataceae.
ACCUGCACGAGGAGAAUAGCAACUCGAAAGAGUUAUUAAUACUCCAUAGGUUUGAGACUCAAAUUAAAGGGGCGUUCUGGGAAACUGGAGCCUCACGAGCAGAGAGGAGUAUGUCCUAUUAGGUUGUUGGUGGGGUAAAUGCCUACCAAGCCGAUGAUGGGUAGCUGGACUGAGAGGUCGACCAGCCGCAAUGGGAUUGAAAUACGGCCCAUAUUCCUACGGGAAGCAGCAGUGAGGAAUUUUUCACAAUGGACGAAAGUCUGAUGGAGCAAUACCAUGUGAACGAUGAAGGUCUUCUGAUUGUAAAGUUCUUUUAUUUAGGAAAAAAAGCUUGAAAG